CUACGGGUUGCUGCAGUGAGGAAUAUUGCACAAUGGGGGGAACCCUGAUGCAGCAACGCCGCGUGGAGGAUGGCGCAUUUCGGUGUGUAAACUCCUUUUAUAUGUCAAGAAAAUGACGGUAGCAUAUGAAUAAGCACCGGCUAACUCCGUGCCAGCAGCCGCGGUAAUACGGAGGGUGCAAGCGUUACUCGGAAUCACUGGGCGUAAAGGACGCGUAGGCGGGUUGGAAAGUCAGGUGUGAAAUCCUACAGCUUAACUGUAGAACUGCACUUGAAACUUCUAAUCUAGAGUAUGGGAGGGGGAGAUGGAAUUAGUGGUGUAGGGGUAAAAUCCGUAGAUAUCACUAGGAAUACCUAAAGCGAAGGCGAUCUCCUGGAACGUUACUGACGCUAAGGCGUGAAAGCGUGGGGAGCAAACAGGAUUAGAUACCCUUGUAGUC
Molecule: ribosomal RNA, 439 nt
Filed under: uncultured bacterium
Lineage: Bacteria
Description: partial 16S ribosomal RNA
Rfam family: Bacterial small subunit ribosomal RNA
Source: RNAcentral